This 2369-nucleotide ribosomal RNA is filed under the name Klebsiella oxytoca. Its description in RNAcentral is "partial 23S ribosomal RNA". It matches the Rfam family "Bacterial large subunit ribosomal RNA", at positions 591 to 2925 of the family's 2925-position model. Lineage: Bacteria; Pseudomonadati; Pseudomonadota; Gammaproteobacteria; Enterobacterales; Enterobacteriaceae. The record is from RNAcentral.
GGGUGACUGCGUACCUUUUGUAUAAUGGGUCAGCGACUUAUAUUCUGUAGCAAGGUUAACCGAAUAGGGGAGCCGCAGGGAAACCGAGUCUUAACUGGGCGUUAAGUUGCAGGGUAUAGACCCGAAACCCGGUGAUCUAGCCAUGGGCAGGUUGAAGGUUGGGUAACACUAACUGGAGGACCGAACCGACUAAUGUUGAAAAAUUAGCGGAUGACUUGUGGCUGGGGGUGAAAGGCCAAUCAAACCGGGAGAUAGCUGGUUCUCCCCGAAAGCUAUUUAGGUAGCGCCUCGUGAACUCAUCUUCGGGGGUAGAGCACUGUUUCGGCUAGGGGGUCAUCCCGACUUACCAACCCGAUGCAAACUACGAAUACCGAAGAAUGUUAUCACGGGAGACACACGGCGGGUGCUAACGUCCGUCGUGAAGAGGGAAACAACCCAGACCGCCAGCUAAGGUCCCAAAGUCAUGGUUAAGUGGGAAACGAUGUGGGAAGGCCCAGACAGCCAGGAUGUUGGCUUAGAAGCAGCCAUCAUUUAAAGAAAGCGUAAUAGCUCACUGGUCGAGUCGGCCUGCGCGGAAGAUGUAACGGGGCUAAACCAUGCACCGAAGCUGCGGCAGCGACACUAUGUGUUGUUGGGUAGGGGAGCGUUCUGUAAGCCGUUGAAGGUGGCCUGUGAGGGUUGCUGGAGGUAUCAGAAGUGCGAAUGCUGACAUAAGUAACGAUAAUGCGGGUGAAAAACCCGCACGCCGGAAGACCAAGGGUUCCUGUCCAACGUUAAUCGGGGCAGGGUGAGUCGACCCCUAAGGCGAGGCCGAAAGGCGUAGUCGAUGGGAAACAGGUUAAUAUUCCUGUACUUGGUGUUACUGCGAAGGGGGGACGGAGAAGGCUAUGUUGGCCGGGCGACGGUUGUCCCGGUUUAAGCAUGUAGGCGGAUGUUCCAGGUAAAUCCGGAACGUUAUUAACGCUGAGGUGUGAUGACGAGGCACUACGGUGCUGAAGUGACAAAUGCCCUGCUUCCAGGAAAAGCCUCUAAGCAUCAGGUAACAUCAAAUCGUACCCCAAACCGACACAGGUGGUCAGGUAGAGAAUACCAAGGCGCUUGAGAGAACUCGGGUGAAGGAACUAGGCAAAAUGGUGCCGUAACUUCGGGAGAAGGCACGCUGAUGGUAAGUGAAGUGACUUGCUCAUGGAGCUGAAAUCAGUCGAAGAUACCAGCUGGCUGCAACUGUUUAUUAAAAACACAGCACUGUGCAAACACGAAAGUGGACGUAUACGGUGUGACGCCUGCCCGGUGCCGGAAGGUUAAUUGAUGGGGUUAUCCUCACGGAGAAGCUCUUGAUCGAAGCCCCGGUAAACGGCGGCCGUAACUAUAACGGUCCUAAGGUAGCGAAAUUCCUUGUCGGGUAAGUUCCGACCUGCACGAAUGGCGUAAUGAUGGCCAGGCUGUCUCCACCCGAGACUCAGUGAAAUUGAACUCGCUGUGAAGAUGCAGUGUACCCGCGGCAAGACGGAAAGACCCCGUGAACCUUUACUAUAGCUUGACACUGAACACUGGUCCUUGAUGUGUAGGAUAGGUGGGAGGCUUUGAAGUGUGGACGCCAGUCUGCAUGGAGCCGUCCUUGAAAUACCACCCUUUAAUGGCUGGUGUUCUAACGUGGGCCCGUGAUCCGGGUUGCGGACAGUGUCUGGUGGGUAGUUUGACUGGGGCGGUCUCCUCCUAAAGAGUAACGGAGGAGCACGAAGGUCAGCUAAUCCUGGUCGGACAUCAGGAGGUUAGUGCAAUGGCAUAAGCUGGCUUGACUGCGAGCGUGACGGCGCGAGCAGGUGCGAAAGCAGGUCAUAGUGAUCCGGUGGUUCUGAAUGGAAGGGCCAUCGCUCAACGGAUAAAAGGUACUCCGGGGAUAACAGGCUGAUACCGCCCAAGAGUUCAUAUCGACGGCGGUGUUUGGCACCUCGAUGUCGGCUCAUCACAUCCUGGGGCUGAAGUAGGUCCCAAGGGUAUGGCUGUUCGCCAUUUAAAGUGGUACGCGAGCUGGGUUUAGAACGUCGUGAGACAGUUCGGUCCCUAUCUGCCGUGGGCGCUGGAGAAUUGAGGGGGGCUGCUCCUAGUACGAGAGGACCGGAGUGGACGCAUCACUGGUGUUCGGGUUGUCAUGCCAAUGGCAUUGCCCGGUAGCUAAAUGCGGAAGAGAUAAGUGCUGAAAGCAUCUAAGCACGAAACUUGCCCCGAGAUGAGUUCUCCCUGACUCCUUGAGAGUCCUGAAGGAACGUUGAAGACGACGACGUUGAUAGGCCGGGUGUGUAAGCGCAGCGAUGCGUUGAGCUAACCGGUACUAAUGAACCGUGAGGCUUAACCUUACAACGCCGAAG